This 28-nucleotide non-coding RNA is filed under the name Bombyx mori (domestic silkworm). The record is from RNAcentral. Lineage: Eukaryota; Metazoa; Arthropoda; Insecta; Lepidoptera; Bombycidae.
UGACUAUCAAAUGAUGUAAGAGGGAAGC